Molecule: ribosomal RNA, 18 nt
Filed under: Beauveria bassiana
Lineage: Eukaryota; Fungi; Ascomycota; Sordariomycetes; Hypocreales; Cordycipitaceae
Description: partial 18S ribosomal RNA
Source: RNAcentral
AGUAAAAAUCGUAACAAG